UUUCCGKUGAUCCCGCCGGAGGKUACUGCUAUCGGUGUUCGCCUAAGCCAUGCGAGUCAUAUKGUAGCAAUACAUGGCGUACUGCUCAGUAACACGUGGAUAACCUGCCCUUGGGUCCGGCAUAACCCCGGGAAACUGGGGAUAAUUCCGGAUAACGCACAUAUGCUGGAAUGCUUUAUGCGUCAAAUGGAUUCGUCUGCCCAAGGAUGGGUCUGCGGCCUAUCAGGUAGUAGUGGGUGUAAUGUACCUACUAGCCGACAACGGGUACGGGUUGUGAGAGCAAGAGCCCGGAGAUGGAUUCUGAGACAUGAAUCCAGGCCCUACGGGGCGCAGCAGGCGCGAAAACUUUACAAUGCGGGAAACCGUGAUAAGGGGGCACCGAGUGUCAGCAUCAUAUGCUGGCUGUCCAGGUGUGUAAAAUACACCUGUUAGCAAGGGCCGGGCAAGACCGGUGCCAGCCGCCGCGGUAACACCGGCGGCCCGAGUGGUGAUCGUGAUUAUUGGGUCUAAAGGGUCCGUAGCCGGUUUGGUCAGUCCUCCGGGAAAUCUGAUAGCUCAACUAUUAGGCUAUCGGGGGAUACUGCCAGGCUUGGAACCGGGAGAGGUAAGAGGUACUACAGGGGUAGGAGUGAAAUCUUGUAAUCCCUGUGGGACCACCUGUGGCGAAGGCGUCUUACCAGAACGGGUUCGACGGUGAGGGACGAAAGCUGGGGGCACGAACCGGAUUAGAUACCCGGGUAGUCCCAGCCGUAAACGAUGCUCGCUAGGUGUCAGGCAUGGCGCGACCGUGUCUGGUGCCGCAGGGAAGCCGUGAAGCGAGCCACCUGGGAAGUACGGCCGCAAGGCUGAAACUUAAAGGAAUUGGCGGGGGAGCAC
This 876-nucleotide ribosomal RNA is filed under the name uncultured Methanosarcina sp. Its description in RNAcentral is "bacterial SSU rRNA". It matches the Rfam family "Archaeal small subunit ribosomal RNA", at positions 1 to 879 of the family's 1478-position model. The record is from RNAcentral. Lineage: Archaea; Methanobacteriati; Methanobacteriota; Methanomicrobia; Methanosarcinales; Methanosarcinaceae.